GUAGGUGGCAAGCGUUGUCCGGAAUUAUUGGGCGUAAAGCGCGCGCAGGCGGUUUUUUAAGUCUGAUGUGAAAGCCCACGGCUCAACCGUGGAGGGUCAUUGGAAACUGGAGAACUUGAGUACAGAAGAGGAAAGCGGAAUUCCACGUGUAGCGGUGAAAUGCGUAGAGAUGUGGAGGAACACCAGUGGCGAAGGCGGCUUUCUGGUCUGUAACUGACGCUGAGGCGCGAAAGCGUGGGGAGCAAACAGGGAUUAGAUACCCUGGUAGUCCACGCCGUAAACGAUGAGUGCUAAGUGUUAGGGGGUUUCCCGCCCCCUUAGUGCUGCAGCUAACGCAUUAAGCACUCCGCCUGGGGAGUACGGCCCGCAAGGCUG
This 375-nucleotide ribosomal RNA is filed under the name uncultured organism. RNAcentral describes it as "partial 16S ribosomal RNA". It matches the Rfam family "Bacterial small subunit ribosomal RNA", at positions 527 to 896 of the family's 1533-position model. The record is from RNAcentral.